CCUACGGGAGGCAGCAGUGGGGAAUAUUGCACAAUGGGCGAAAGCCUGAUGCAGCGACGCCGCGUGAGGGAUGACGGCCUUCGGGUUGUAAACCUCUUUCAGCAGGGAAGAAGCGAAAGUGACGGUACCUGCAGAAGAAGCGCCGGCUAACUACGUGCCAGCAGCCGCGGUAAUACGUAGGGCGCAAGCGUUGUCCGGAAUUAUUGGGCGUAAAGAGCUCGUAGGCGGCUUGUCACGUCGGGUGUGAAAGCCCGGGGCUUAACCCCGGGUCUGCAUUCGAUACGGGCUAGCUAGAGUGUGGUAGGGGAGAUCGGAAUUCCUGGUGUAGCGGUGAAAUGCGCAGAUAUCAGGAGGAACACCGGUGGCGAAGGCGGAUCUCUGGGCCAUUACUGACGCUGAGGAGCGAAAGCGUGGGGAGCGAACAGGAUUAGAUACCCUGGUAGUCCACGCCGUAAACGGUGGGAACUAGGUGUUGGCGACAUUUCCCACGUCGUCGGUGCGCAGCUACGACAUUAACGUUACCCGUCCGUCGGGUAGGUACGGCCGGCGACGACGUAAACUAACAAACUAGAAGUUAGACGGCGUGAGACGNGCCGAACGGACGACCGACGAGGGAGGUAGG
Molecule: ribosomal RNA, 622 nt
Filed under: uncultured bacterium
Lineage: Bacteria
Description: bacterial SSU rRNA
Rfam family: Bacterial small subunit ribosomal RNA (bases 1-527)
Source: RNAcentral